RNAcentral lists this transfer RNA (656 nucleotides) under uncultured cyanobacterium. RNAcentral describes it as "partial miscellaneous RNA". The stretch from base 257 to 329 matches the Rfam family "tRNA". Lineage: Bacteria; Bacillati; Cyanobacteriota. The record is from RNAcentral.
CAGGGAGACAAAACUGAUUAUGAUGUCUGAUUAAAAUAUUAGGCCUUAAUCCUGUCACCUUAGGUCGAUCGGUACCUCAGAUUGAUGGCUAUAAAAUAAGGAUUAAUUUUUAUUUUUUGCUUUCGGUUUUAGUUCCUAAACUUGUCUAGGUCACACCCAACAAACUUUCUCCUGGGCUAUUAGCUCAGGCGGUUAGAGCGCACCCCUGAUAAGGGUGAGGUCCCUGGUUCAAGUCCAGGAUGGCCCAUUCGUUGUUGGGGGUAUAGCUCAGUUGGUAGAGCGCCUGCUUUGCAAGCAGGAUGUCAGCGGUUCGAGUCCGCUUACCUCCACUGAUCAACUACCUGAUAACUCAGUUUGGAGAUUGUUGUUUGGUUAAUGUGAUUUAGACGUUGUUCAUCUGAAUGAACCUAGCUUCCUAUCAACCGUUAAUUAAAUUUGACUGAUAAGACGCUGGGCUCACUGAUAUUUCAAAUGAAUAUCAGUUUGAUUCAGCAGAACCUUGACAACUGCAUAGGAAAAUCUAGAAAAAUAAAGCAUCUCAUAGAUAUAUAUGGGAAAGUGUUUUUCAUGAAUUUGAAAAUCACAUUUCUAUGUUCAAUUCUUGAGUUAGAGCACAAUUUAAUUUUGCAUUUUUAAAGAUGCAAAAUGAAUUAAUU